AUUGAACGCUGGCGGCAGGCCUAACACAUGCAAGUCGAACGGUAACAGGAAGCAGCUUGCUGCUUUGCUGACGAGUGGCGGACGGGUGAGUAAUGUCUGGGAAACUGCCUGAUGGAGGGGGAUAACUACUGGAAACGGUAGCUAAUACCGCAUAACGUCGCAAGACCAAAGAGGGGGACCUUCGGGCCUCUUGCCAUCGGAUGUGCCCAGAUGGGAUUAGCUAGUAGGUGGGGUAACGGCUCACCUAGGCGACGAUCCCUAGCUGGUCUGAGAGGAUGACCAGCCCCACUGGAACUGAGACACGGUCCAGACUCCUACGGGAGGCAGCAGUGGGGAAUAUUGCACAAUGGGCGCAAGCCUGAUGCAGCCAUGCCGCGUGUAUGAAGAAGGCCUUCGGGUUGUAAAGUACUUUCAGCGGGGAGGAAGGGAGUAAAGUUAAUACCUUUGCUCAUU
RNAcentral lists this ribosomal RNA (453 nucleotides) under Escherichia coli. RNAcentral's name for it is "bacterial SSU rRNA". It matches the Rfam family "Bacterial small subunit ribosomal RNA", at positions 30 to 477 of the family's 1533-position model. Lineage: Bacteria; Pseudomonadati; Pseudomonadota; Gammaproteobacteria; Enterobacterales; Enterobacteriaceae. The record is from RNAcentral.